This 479-nucleotide ribosomal RNA is filed under the name uncultured bacterium. RNAcentral's name for it is "SSU rRNA". It matches the Rfam family "Bacterial small subunit ribosomal RNA", at positions 26 to 522 of the family's 1533-position model. The record is from RNAcentral.
AGGACGAACGCUGGCGGCGUGCUUAACACAUGCAAGUCGAACGGUAAGGCCCUUCGGGGUACACGAGUGGCGAACGGGUGAGUAACACGUGGGUGAUCUGCCCUGCACUUCGGGAUAAGCUUGGGAAACUGGGUCUAAUACCGGAUAUGACUACGAAUCGCAUGGUUUGUGGUGGAAAGCUUUUGCGGUGUGGGAUGGGCCCGCGGCCUAUCAGCUUGUUGGUGGGGUGAUGGCCUACCAAGGCGACGACGGGUAGCCGGCCUGAGAGGGUGUCCGGCCACACUGGGACUGAGAUACGGCCCAGACUCCUACGGGAGGCAGCAGUGGGGAAUAUUGCACAAUGGGCGCAAGCCUGAUGCAGCGACGCCGCGUGAGGGAUGACGGCCUCGGGUUGUAAACCUCUUUCAGUAUCGACGAAGCGCAAGUGACGGUAGGUACGAGAAGAAGGACCGGCCAACUACGCGCCAGCAGCCGCGGUA